UCUGACCUCAAAUCAGGUAGGACUACCCGCUGAACUUAAGCAUAUCAAUAAGCGGAGGAAAAGAAACUAACAAGGAUUCCCCUAGUAACUGCGAGUG
Molecule: ribosomal RNA, 97 nt
Filed under: Amanita sp. 'chiricahuana'
Lineage: Eukaryota; Fungi; Basidiomycota; Agaricomycetes; Agaricales; Amanitaceae
Description: partial 28S ribosomal RNA
Rfam family: Eukaryotic large subunit ribosomal RNA
Source: RNAcentral